UCGUGGUGGAGGAAGGUCGUGUGUGCGUGGUCCUCAACCUCCUCGACGCUGGACUUUGCGUUGCGAGUUACAAGUUUUAAUUAUUCUUUGAUAAUACUCUGACUUAGUGUGUAGUGUCGUGAAGUAUUUCUUGUCGGAUUUAUAUAUCUUACAUAUUACUGUGUAAAUUUUCAGUGUGUGAAGUGGUGAUAAAACUUAAAAUAUAAUGUUUUGUAAUACGAUGAAGUGUACAUAGCAACGAGUGACAGUCGAAACUUUUUGUGGAAAACGUCAGCUUCUGCCAAGAUUCCAGUGUCGGACACCAGAACAACAACAAAGGCGGUAAUAGCAGCCUGAAUGGUUUUCUGUCCUGUCACGGGUCGUCACAGUCUUACUGUAACAAAAUCUGGCCUAAUCUGACAGUCACAAGCUUCCUGUCACAACCUCUGGUCUGUCUCGGAACGUCACAACCCGUGGCUCAUCACAACUCCGGGGUAUUACAACACAACACCUGGACAGCUGCUCUUCCUAUCGAUGCCUCAUAAUGUCCUCGGUAACUGUGUGUCAUGAGUGUGUCAUAGACGGUCAUAUGGCAACUGAAAGUGGGUUUAAUAUGGCAGCCAAUAUGAGUGUAGCUAUGACAGAACAUUGUGGUACAGUUAAGUACAAGAUAAAUACAGAGACCCACGUAAACACAGACGCUGCUGGUGGCGAGAUAAACAGUGGCGUGGGGGAUUACAGCGGUUACUACUCAGGACAACAGACAUAUACAGUGCAGGAAAACUUAUGUAGCGUAGAAGGAAAUUCAGGUAUUGACAUUUUAAGUAGUGAAGUAGGAAAAUCAGAUCAGCAGUUAGGGUAUAAAAGUAAUGUAGACGAAAUGAGAGGUAACGGAGCUAAAAGCACACCUUACACUACCUUGGGCAGAGGAGCUGGGGAGCAUCGAGGAGUGAGACAGCCAGGUGGAACAGUGGAGGAGGAGGAGGAAGAGGCUGUCAACCACACCAGGGUGACAAGACCUCAAGCACCACCAUCCAUCAUCACCCGUGUAGGAAAUUUUACGAGCGAGAGUUCAGUGACACUCCACUCUCCUGGGUCUGCUGCUCUCCUCUCCAUCACUCGAGAUCCAUCAACGUCUCAGAAUGACCCAAACCCGACGAUAUUCAGAAAUCGACGCAGUUCAUUGACACUGACGACUGAUUCAAAUUCAACGAGGUUUCUGUGUCCUCCCGGUGCUGCGGCAACUGCCACUAGCAGCCUGUCAUCUCGUUAUGGGUUUGCUGAUAUAGAAGCGACCUCCACCAACCAUUUGAUGUCACUUUCUUAUGAUCGAGCUGCGUCUUCCGCUGUGGGUGGUGUCGACGCCCCAUUAUCCGGAAAUUCUGUCUCAGGUCUCGUACCACCAACCUUAGGAACGAUCCUGACCUCAGCUGGUAGCAGGCCAGGAGCUGGAGGCCAGGUUUCAGCACGGGUUGGCCUCAUACCACCACCAGGAGGCCAAGGAUCAACCUCAGUUGGUCUCAUACCACCAGCUGGUCGACCGAUUUCCUGGGCAGGUGGUCGCGGGGGAAAGAUGGUGAGCCGCCUGCUGGAGGUGGCCGUGUUGCUGCUCACACUGCUUCUGGCUACACCCGUCGCUGGUGUUAAAUCAAGGGAGUUGUUGAAGCCAGAGACAUCAUCAGGGCGCUACGACCGCGGGGGCCCACAGCACAGCAUCACCUGGGGUCGAGGCAACAGCCACAGCUCAGCAGUGUUCGGCAACGUACUCACCAACGUGACGGCCGUGCUGGGUCACCGCGCCCGCCUCCCCUGCCAGGUCAAGAACCUCGGCCACAAGGACGUGUCAUGGAUCAGGCAACGUGACCUCCACAUCCUGACUGUCGGCAUCUUCACCUACACCAGCGACGACAGGUUCAAGGUGUUCCACCCCCCGGAGGCCGAGGACUGGUUCCUGGACAUUAGCUCCGUGACCUUCAGGGACGCCGGAGUUUACGAGUGUCAGGUCUCCACCAGCCCCAAAGUCUCCCUGCCCAUCCACCUCACCGUCCUGGCUGUACAGGAGGCGGACAUCCUGGGGCCGCGGGAGGUGUACAUCCAGCAUGGCUCCACCAUCAGCCUCCACUGUGAGGUUCAGGCCGGGGUGGAGGCGGUGGGUCCCGUGCGAUGGCUCCGGGGCGCCGCCACCCUCAACUACAGCUCCCCAAGAGGCGGCAUCAGUAUGGAGGUGGAGAAGACGCCCACCAAGACUAUGUCGAAGCUGUACAUCACGCGUGCGGUGCGGGCGGAUUCCGGCAACUACACCUGCGCCCCCACCUUCGCCCGCCCAGACUCAGUUAUCGUCCACGUCGUUAAUGCUGGAGAAGAGUCGGCGGCGGCGGUGCAGAGCAGCGUGGAAGCAGUGCGGGCGUGCAUGGGCGUGGUGUGGGCGGCGACCCUGUUGGCUGCUUGGCUCAGGCCCGCUCACUCUCUCACCUGGCGUCCGUGAGUCAUGCAGGCGGUGUUGAGCGUGUACAGCUUGGUGUUCCCUUCCUGUCCCCCCACCCACAGCCCGCCCGAACUGCUUGAGGCCCCACCACCACCAAUGUAGUGUGCCUUAUAUUUUUGUAGGUGUUUCCCCAAGUAUCUGUGUAAUAAACUAUAUAUUUCGA
Molecule: RNA transcript, 2627 nt
Organism: Homarus americanus (American lobster)
Lineage: Eukaryota; Metazoa; Arthropoda; Malacostraca; Decapoda; Nephropidae
Exons: 11
Source: RefSeq, a predicted model, not a curated record